UACGAAGGGGGCUAGCGUUGCUCGGAAUCACUGGGCGUAAAGCGCACGUAGGCGGAUUGUUAAGUCGGUGGUGAAAUCCUGGAGCUCAACUCCAGAACUGUCUUCGAUACUGGGAGUCUCGAGUCCGGGAGAGGUGAGUGGAACUGCGAGUGUAGAGGUGAAAUUCGUAGAUAUUCGCAAGAACACCAGUGGCGAAGGCGGCUCACUGGCCCGGUACUGACGCUGAGGUGCGAAAGCGUGGGGAGCAAACAGG
RNAcentral lists this ribosomal RNA (253 nucleotides) under uncultured bacterium. RNAcentral describes it as "partial 16S ribosomal RNA". It matches the Rfam family "Bacterial small subunit ribosomal RNA", at positions 524 to 776 of the family's 1533-position model. The record is from RNAcentral.